Molecule: ribosomal RNA, 283 nt
Filed under: uncultured Bacteroidota bacterium
Lineage: Bacteria; Pseudomonadati; Bacteroidota
Description: uncultured Bacteroidetes bacterium partial 16S ribosomal RNA
Rfam family: Bacterial small subunit ribosomal RNA
Source: RNAcentral
GAUGAACGCUAGCGGCAGGCCUAACACAUGCAAGUCGAGGGGUAGCAGGGUAGCAAUACCGCUGACGACCGGCGCACGGGUGAGUAAUACAUAUGCAACCUUCCUUUAACUGGGGCAUAGCCCGGAGAAAUCCGGAUUAAUACCCCAUAAGAUCAUAGAGAGGCAUCUUUUAGUGAUUAAAGCUCCGGCGGUUAAAGAUGGGCAUAUGUGCCAUUAGCUAGUUGGUGAGGUAACGGCUCACCAAGGCUACGAUGGUUAGGGGGUCUGAGAGGAUGAUCCCCCA